This 491-nucleotide ribosomal RNA is filed under the name uncultured bacterium. RNAcentral describes it as "partial 16S ribosomal RNA". It matches the Rfam family "Bacterial small subunit ribosomal RNA", at positions 29 to 507 of the family's 1533-position model. The record is from RNAcentral.
GUGAACGCUGGCGGUAGGCCUAACACCUGCAAGUCGAACGGCAGCACAGUAAGAGCUUGCUCUUACGGGUGGCGAGUGGCGGACGGGUGAGGAAUACAUCGGAAUCUACUUUUUCGUGGGGGAUAACGUAGGGAAACUUACGCUAAUACCGCAUACGACCUAUGGGUGAAAGCAGGGGAUCUUCGGACCUUGCGCGAUUGAAUGAGCCGAUGUCGGAUUAGCUAGUUGGCGGGGUAAAGGCCCACCAAGGCGACGAUCCGUAGCUGGUCUGAGAGGAUGAUCAGCCACACUGGAACUGAGACACGGUCCAGACUCCUACGGGAGGCAGCAGUGGGGAAUAUUGGACAAUGGGCGCAAGCCUGAUCCAGCCAUACCGCGUGGGUGAAGAAGGCCUUCGGGUUGUAAAGCCCUUUUGUUGGGAAAGAAAAGCAGCAGGUUAAUACCCCGCUGUUCUGACGGUACCCAAAGAAUAAGCACCGGCUAACUUCGUG